UAGUCCACACCGUAAACGAUGAAUGCCAGUCGUCGGGUAGUAUACUAUUCGGUGACACACCUAACGGAUUAAGCAUUCCGCCUGGGGAGUACGGUCGCAAGAUUAAAACUCAAAGGAAUUGACGGGGGCCCGCACAAGCGGUGGAGUAUGUGGUUUAAUUCGAAGCAACGCGCAGAACCUUACCUACCCUUAACAUUUCACGCUCGCCUCAGAGAUGAGGUUUUCUCUUCGGAGACGUGAGGAUAGGUGCUGCAUGGCUGUCGUCAGCUCGUGUCGUAAGAUGUCUGGUUAAGUCCAAUAACGAGCGCAACCCUUAUCCUUAGUUACCAGCAUUGAGUUGGGGACUCUAGGGAGACUGCCGGUGUUAAACCGGAGGAAGGCGGGGAUGACGUCAAGUCCUCAUGGCCCUUACGGGUAGGGCUACACACGUACUACAAUGGCCGUGACAAAGAGUUGCUACUUUGUGAAAACAAGCUAAUCUCAUAAACGCGGCCUCAGUUCGGAUUGCAGGCUGAAACUCG
Molecule: ribosomal RNA, 521 nt
Filed under: uncultured bacterium
Lineage: Bacteria
Description: bacterial SSU rRNA
Rfam family: Bacterial small subunit ribosomal RNA
Source: RNAcentral